Molecule: transfer RNA, 74 nt
Filed under: Microcoleus sp. SIO2G3
Lineage: Bacteria; Bacillati; Cyanobacteriota; Cyanophyceae; Oscillatoriales; Microcoleaceae
Also listed under: 2 other names
Description: tRNA-Glu
Rfam family: tRNA
About the family: Transfer RNA (tRNA) molecules are approximately 80 nucleotides in length. Their secondary structure includes four short double-helical elements and three loops (D, anti-codon, and T loops). Further hydrogen bonds mediate the characteristic L-shaped molecular structure. tRNAs have two regions of fundamental functional importance: the anti-codon, which is responsible for specific mRNA codon recognition, and the 3' end, to which the tRNAs corresponding amino acid is attached (by aminoacyl-tRNA synthetases). tRNAs cope with the degeneracy of the genetic code in two manners: having more than one tRNA (with a specific anti-codon) for a particular amino acid; and 'wobble' base-pairing, i.e. permitting non-standard base-pairing at the 3rd anti-codon position.
Source: RNAcentral
GGCCCCAUAGGCGAAUGGUUUAAGCCGUCACUCUUUCAAAGUGAAGAUUACGGGUUCAAAUCCCGUUGGGGCUA